Molecule: long non-coding RNA, 389 nt
Organism: Gymnodraco acuticeps
Lineage: Eukaryota; Metazoa; Chordata; Actinopteri; Perciformes; Bathydraconidae
Exons: 3
Source: RefSeq, a predicted model, not a curated record
AUCACCAACAACUCUUCCUUCAACAACUCCAUCACCAACAACUCUUCCUUCAACAACUCCAUCACCAACAACUCCUCCUAUUCUCUUUGAAUACAUCAUUUUGGUUGAGUUGAACACCACAGAUACUCUAAUAAAUCAACUGAGUACCAUUCUGAGAAGCAUCCGUUACCCCUUUAUCCUCAACAACGCACAAAUCCUUGAUGUAAACAUUUCUACAGUUUGCUCUCCGAGCAGUUCUGGUUACCAGUGCAGAUGUGAGGAUCAGUAUCGUUGGUCAUGUGACCAGUGUUUACAGUAUACAUCCUGUGACAACAUCACUGGGGACACAUGUGGAUGCAUCAAUGCCAUUCCUCCUGAUGGACAAUACUGCCAGCCUUCUGGUCAAAACA